AGUGAACGCUGGCGGUAGGCCUAACACAUGCAAGUCGAACGGCAGCACAGUAAGAGCUUGCUCUUACGGGUGGCGAGUGGCGGACGGGUGAGGAAUACAUCGGAAUCUACUUUUUCGUGGGGGAUAACGUAGGGAAACUUACGCUAAUACCGCAUACGACCUACGGGUGAAAGCAAGGGAUCUUCGGACCUUGCGCGAUUGAAUGAGCCGAUGUCGGAUUAGCUAGUUGGCGGGGUAAAGGCCCACCAAGGCGACGAUCCGUAGCUGGUCUGAAAGGAUGAUCAGCCACACUGGAACUGAGACACGGUCCAGACUCCUACGGGAGGCAGCAGUGGGGAAUAUUGGACAAUGGGCGCAAGCCUGAUCCAGCCAUACCGCGUGGGUGAAGAAGGCCUUCGGGUUGUAAAGCCCUUUUGUUGGGAAAGAAAAGCAGCAGGUUAAUACCCCGCUGUUCUGACGGUACCCAAAGAAUAAGCACCGGCUAACUUCGUG
RNAcentral lists this ribosomal RNA (492 nucleotides) under uncultured bacterium. Its description in RNAcentral is "partial 16S ribosomal RNA". It matches the Rfam family "Bacterial small subunit ribosomal RNA", at positions 29 to 507 of the family's 1533-position model. The record is from RNAcentral.